UACGUAGGGUGCAAGCGUUAUCCGGAAUUAUUGGGCGUAAAGAGCUCGUAGGCGGUUUGUCGCGUCUGCUGUGAAAACUGGAGGCUCAACCUCCAGCCUGCAGUGGGUACGGGCAGACCAGAGUGCGGUAGGGGAGAUUGGAAUUCCUGGUGUAGCGGUGGAAUGCGCAGAUAUCAGGAGGAACACCGAUGGCGAAGGCAGAUCUCUGGGCCGUAACUGACGCUGAGGAGCGAAAGCGUGGGGAGCGAACAGG
This 253-nucleotide ribosomal RNA is filed under the name uncultured bacterium. RNAcentral describes it as "partial 16S ribosomal RNA". It matches the Rfam family "Bacterial small subunit ribosomal RNA", at positions 524 to 776 of the family's 1533-position model. The record is from RNAcentral.